GGUUAAGCGACUGAGCGUACACGGUGGAUGCCCUGGCAGUCAGAGGCGAUGAAGGACGUGCUAAUCUGCGAUAAGCGUCGGUAAGGUGAUAUGAACCGUUAUAACCGGCGAUUUCCGAAUGGGGAAACCCAGUGUGUUUCGACACACUAUCAUUAACUGAAUCCAUAGGUUAAUGAGGCGAACCGGGGGAACUGAAACAUCUAAGUACCCCGAGGAAAAGAAAUCAACCGAGAUUCCCCCAGUAGCGGCGAGCGAACGGGGAGGAGCCCAGAGCCUGAAUCAGUGUGUGUGUUAGUGGAAGCGUCUGGAAAGGCGCGCGAUACAGGGUGACAGCCCCGUACACAAAAAUACACAUAUUGUGAGCUCGAUGAGUAGGGCGGGACACGUGGUAUCCUGUCUGAAUAUGGGGGGACCAUCCUCCAAGGCUAAAUACUCCUGACUGACCGAUAGUGAACCAGUACCGUGAGGGAAAGGCGAAAAGAACCCCGGCGAGGGGAGUGAAAAAGAACCUGAAACCGUGUACGUACAAGCAGUGGGAGCACGCUUAGGCGUGUGACUGCGUACCUUUUGUAUAAUGGGUCAGCGACUUAUAUUCUGUAGCAAGGUUAACCGAAUAGGGGAGCCGAAGGGAAACCGAGUCUUAACUGGGCGUUAAGUUGCAGGGUAUAGACCCGAAACCCGGUGAUCUAGCCAUGGGCAGGUUGAAGGUUGGGUAACACUAACUGGAGGACCGAACCGACUAAUGUUGAAAAAUUAGCGGAUGACUUGUGGCUGGGGGUGAAAGGCCAAUCAAACCGGGAGAUAGCUGGUUCUCCCCGAAAGCUAUUUAGGUAGCGCCUCGUGAAUUCAUCUCCGGGGGUAGAGCACUGUUUCGGCAAGGGGGUCAUCCCGACUUACCAACCCGAUGCAAACUGCGAAUACCGGAGAAUGUUAUCACGGGAGACACACGGCGGGUGCUAACGUCCGUCGUGAAGAGGGAAACAACCCAGACCGCCAGCUAAGGUCCCAAAGUCAUGGUUAAGUGGGAAACGAUGUGGGAAGGCCCAGACAGCCAGGAUGUUGGCUUAGAAGCAGCCAUCAUUUAAAGAAAGCGUAAUAGCUCACUGGUCGAGUCGGCCUGCGCGGAAGAUGUAACGGGGCUAAACCAUGCACCGAAGCUGCGGCAGCGACGCUUAUGCGUUGUUGGGUAGGGGAGCGUUCUGUAAGCCUGUGAAGGUGUGCUGUGAGGCAUGCUGGAGGUAUCAGAAGUGCGAAUGCUGACAUAAGUAACGAUAAAGCGGGUGAAAAGCCCGCUCGCCGGAAGACCAAGGGUUCCUGUCCAACGUUAAUCGGGGCAGGGUGAGUCGACCCCUAAGGCGAGGCCGAAAGGCGUAGUCGAUGGGAAAC
RNAcentral lists this ribosomal RNA (1386 nucleotides) under Escherichia coli. RNAcentral's name for it is "partial 23S ribosomal RNA". It matches the Rfam family "Bacterial large subunit ribosomal RNA", at positions 1 to 1426 of the family's 2925-position model. Lineage: Bacteria; Pseudomonadati; Pseudomonadota; Gammaproteobacteria; Enterobacterales; Enterobacteriaceae. The record is from RNAcentral.